RNAcentral lists this ribosomal RNA (406 nucleotides) under Aeromonas sp. Sven5r. Its description in RNAcentral is "bacterial SSU rRNA". It matches the Rfam family "Bacterial small subunit ribosomal RNA", at positions 99 to 500 of the family's 1533-position model. The record is from RNAcentral. Lineage: Bacteria; Pseudomonadati; Pseudomonadota; Gammaproteobacteria; Aeromonadales; Aeromonadaceae.
CGGACGGGUGAGUAAUGCCUGGGGAUCUGCCCAGUCGAGGGGGAUAACAGUUGGAAACGACUGCUAAUACCGCAUACGCCCUACGGGGGAAAGGAGGGGACCUUAGGGCCUUUCGCGAUUGGAUGAACCCAGGUGGGAUUAGCUAGUUGGUGGGGUAAUGGCUCACCAAGGCGACGAUCCCUAGCUGGUCUGAGAGGAUGAUCAGCCACACUGGAACUGAGACACGGUCCAGACUCCUACGGGAGGCAGCAGUGGGGAAUAUUGCACAAUGGGGGAAACCCUGAUGCAGCCAUGCCGCGUGUGUGAAGAAGGCCUUCGGGUUGUAAAGCACUUUCAGCGAGGAGGAAAGGUUGGCGCCUAAUACGUGUCAACUGUGACGUUACUCGCAGAAGAAGCAGCCGGCUAA